ACGGAGCCACAACGCGUUAAUAAUGCUCCUCAAACGGUGCGCAUUGGAACAGCCUGUAGUGUUAAUUCAAAAGUGUGUGUGAUAAAAAUGUGUGUACAGCAUUCAUAGUAAUAGUAAAAGUGCUCCAAAGUCGUUUCAAUGGUGAUAAAAACGUAA
Molecule: long non-coding RNA, 156 nt
Organism: Bactrocera tryoni
Lineage: Eukaryota; Metazoa; Arthropoda; Insecta; Diptera; Tephritidae
Exons: 4
Source: RefSeq, a predicted model, not a curated record